GACGAACGCUGGCGGCGCGCUUAACACAUGCCAGUCGAACGGAAAGGCCUGCUUUCCCUUGUGGAUUGCGGGUACUCGAGUGGCGAACGGGUGAGUAACACGUGAGUGAUCUGCCCCCAACUUGGGUAUAAGCCUGGGAAACUGGGUCUAAUUCCCGAUAGGACUGCAGGGUGGUGCCUGUGGUGGAAAACGAUUUUCUAGUGGUUGGGGAUGAGCUCGCGGCCUAUCAGCUUGUUGGUGGGGUAAUGGCCUACCAAGGCGGCGACGGGUAGCCGGCCUGGGAGGGUGGACGGCCACAUUGGGACUGAGAUACGGCCCAGACUCCUACGGGAGGCAGCAGUGGGGAAUAUUGCACAAUGGGCGGAAGCCUGAUGCAGCGACGCCGCGUGGGGGAUGACGGCCUUCGGGUUGUAAACUCCUUUCGACCGCGAGGAAGCCACCUGGUUGGAAGGGUGGUGACGGUAGUGGUAGAAGAAGCACCGGCUAACUACGUG
Molecule: ribosomal RNA, 494 nt
Filed under: uncultured bacterium
Lineage: Bacteria
Description: partial 16S ribosomal RNA
Rfam family: Bacterial small subunit ribosomal RNA
Source: RNAcentral